This 197-nucleotide long non-coding RNA is filed under the name Anneissia japonica. RNAcentral describes it as "uncharacterized LOC117103986". Lineage: Eukaryota; Metazoa; Echinodermata; Crinoidea; Comatulida; Comatulidae. The record is from RNAcentral.
AGUCAAUCAGAAAUCUUCAACAUUUAGAAGUGAUUAACUUUGGUGACUGUCUGGUGAAGUCAGAAGGGGCAGAAGCAUUGGCAGAAAGUUUGAAGAAUGGCCUUCCAGCUCUCAAGGAACUAAAUUUAUCAUUUGGUGAGAUCAAUAGUUCGGCUGCCAUCAAAAUUGCUGAAAGUUUGGAUGGAAAAACAGCGUUG